Molecule: long non-coding RNA, 368 nt
Organism: Mytilus trossulus (common blue mussel)
Lineage: Eukaryota; Metazoa; Mollusca; Bivalvia; Mytilida; Mytilidae
Exons: 3
Source: RefSeq, a predicted model, not a curated record
AACCGAUAAAUUCGAGUUAAUCUAAUUUUCUGAAUACAAAGAAAAAGACUUUUGAAAUUUUUCAUAACGAACAGGAAAGAUUAUCAUAUAGACAUGAUAGGUACCAAAGAAUUAUCAACAACUUUAAGAUGAAGAAGACAAUGCUCCGUACACUUGUGUUUGUCAUAUGCACAGUUUUGACAAGUACAGUCAAUGGUUGUCCCCUUCAAUGUAGCUGCGAUGGCACGACGGUUAAUUGCAGGAAUAUAAAUAUAGCAACAGUGCCGUCUGAAAUUCCUAAUUCGACAACCAUUCUGUAUUUGAAUGUUAAUCAAAUAACUACAUUACAGCCAGGAGUAUUUCGAGACCUACAAACGCUGACUACUCUG